Molecule: ribosomal RNA, 266 nt
Filed under: uncultured bacterium
Lineage: Bacteria
Description: partial 16S ribosomal RNA
Rfam family: Bacterial small subunit ribosomal RNA
Source: RNAcentral
UAGGGAAUAUUGGUUAAUGGGCGAAAGCCUGAACCAGCAACGCCGCGUGUGCGAUGAAGGCCUUCGGGUCGUAAAGCACUUUUUGAAGGGACGAGGAAGGACGGUACCCUCAGAAUAAGCCUCGGCUAACUACGUGCCAGCAGCCGCGGUAACACGUAGGAGGCAAGCGUUAUUCGGAUUUACUGGGUGUAAAGCGCGUGUAGGCGGUUCGGAAAGUUGGAUGUGAAAGCUCCCGGCUUAACUGGGAGAGGCCGUUCAAAACUUCC